CACAAAGACCAUCUAGGAGUUUUCCAAAUGCCUACUUUGGACAUUCAAACAACAAGUAGGAAUAAAAGAAUCUACUUUAGUGUUGAAUAUAUUAAAUUGAGAAUAGAGAUGGGGAAUGUGUCAAAGAGACCACUAAGGAGAAGAAAACAGCAAAAGGACACCAAUGCGUCUUCAUCACAGCGAAGAAAAUCUAGCUCACACAGGCAGGCUUUAGCUGGACUCUAAACAAAAUGUGUACUAGUUCAGUGAAAAUAGAUGUCAUACAAAACUUCAAAACAUAUAAAUGAACUAAAAUUGAAAAUCCUACAAGGCUAUAUAACAUGUAUAAAAAUAAGAAGAUGUAUAAUUUCCAAUGAGACAACUCUCCACAAGAGACCAAAUGAUGCAGAAAUUAAACGACUAUAGGUUACUGUACAUCCUUCAACAAUGAGCAAAACCAAUACAACGUAAUACCAAUAUACAGUUGUAUAAAGAUGAAGGAAAAACAAACAUGAACAAACGACAACCACUGAAUUAGAGGCUGUUGCCUUGGGACAGGCACAUACACACAUACAGAAUGUGGUUGGGUUAAACAUGUUAGCUUUAUCCCAACCCUCCCCCUAACCUAGGACAGUGGUGUAACAGUGCAACAUAAGAACG
Molecule: long non-coding RNA, 639 nt
Filed under: Mytilus galloprovincialis (Mediterranean mussel)
Lineage: Eukaryota; Metazoa; Mollusca; Bivalvia; Mytilida; Mytilidae
Source: RNAcentral